RNAcentral lists this ribosomal RNA (465 nucleotides) under uncultured bacterium. RNAcentral describes it as "partial 16S ribosomal RNA". It matches the Rfam family "Bacterial small subunit ribosomal RNA", at positions 28 to 507 of the family's 1533-position model. The record is from RNAcentral.
GAUGAACGCUGGCGGCGUGCUUAACACAUGCAGGUCGAACGGAAAGGCUCCUGCUUGCAGGGGUACUCGAGUGGCGAACGGGUGAGUAACACGUGGGUGAUCUGCCCUGCACUUCGGGAUAAGCCUGGGAAACUGGGUCUAAUACCGGAUAGGACCACAUUUUGGAUGGUGUGGUGGAAAGUUUUUCGGUGUGGGAUGAGCUCGCGGCCUAUCAGCGUGUUGGUGGGGUAAUGGCCUACCAAGGCGUCGACGGGUAGCCGGCCUGAGAGGGUGUACGGCCACAUUGGGACUGAGACACGGCCCAGACUCCUACGGGAGGCAGCAGUGGGGAAUAUUGCACAAUGGGCGCAAGCCUGAUGCAGCGACGCCGCGUGGGGGAUGACGGCCUUCGGGUUGUAAACUCCUUUCGCUAGGGACGAAGCGCAAGUGACGGUACCUGGAGAAGAAGCACCGGCUAACUACGUG